UCCCUCUCAGGGUCACACUUGGAGAGUUUCCAGUACUCUACCAGUCUCGGCUAUGGGAGGGAGAGUCAAGCAGAGGCCUAUCCCUUCCAUUCCCAGCUUAGGCAGUGGCUAGCAAGUGGAAGGCAAUUUGCCGCAAGU
This is a non-coding RNA of Ornithorhynchus anatinus (platypus), 138 nucleotides long. The record is from Rfam. NCBI's taxonomy places the organism in Eukaryota, Metazoa, Chordata, Mammalia, Monotremata, Ornithorhynchidae.